This 253-nucleotide ribosomal RNA is filed under the name uncultured bacterium. Its description in RNAcentral is "partial 16S ribosomal RNA". It matches the Rfam family "Bacterial small subunit ribosomal RNA", at positions 524 to 776 of the family's 1533-position model. The record is from RNAcentral.
UACGUAGGGUGCGAGCGUUGUCCGGAAUUAUUGGGCGUAAAGGGCUCGCAGGCGGUCUGUCGCGUCGGGAGUGAAAACUCAGGGCUUAACCCUGAGCCUGCUUCCGAUACGGGCAGACUAGAGGUAUGCAGGGGAGAACGGAAUUCCUGGUGUAGCGGUGAAAUGCGUAGAUAUCAGGAGGAACACCGGUGGCGAAGGCGGUUCUCUGGGCAUUACCUGACGCUGAGGAGCGAAAGUGUGGGGAGCGAACAGG